AGCGUGUGUGUUAUCUGUCAUUUCAGCAGCUCGCACGUCUGCAGACACGCGCCGCAGAUGGGAACCUGGCGCGAGGGAGGCAGGAAUUCCGCUCCGCAGCCUCCUCCUGCACCACUGGCUCCGGGCCGCUGCCCCGCACCUGCAGCGCCCCGGGAGCGCCCCGGGUCCCCGGGGCCGGCCGGGUUCCGCCUGGCGGAGAGCAGGGACACAUCCAAGCACCCGCCCUUCCCCCCGCGCUGCCGCCAGCCGGCUCCGGAGCGAACAGCCGCGGGCUGGGGGAAGGGGCCCCCCGGGACCGUGGGCUCGCUCCCCUCCCGGGCGCCUGCGAGCGGCAGCGGGGGCGGCGGGGCUGCCCCCGGCCCGUGUUACCUGAGCGGAGCGGGGCUCGCCGGCGUCGCCUCCCCGGCCGCGGCGGAGCGGGGACGCGGGCGCGCCGGAAGCAGACACAGCCGCACGCUCACCUGCGCGCCCCCGCCGCCCCCCGCCUCCUCCGCCGCCGGCCCGCACCAACUCCCGCCGCCGCACGGGGACGGGGGGGAGGCGCGGGGCUGCCCGGCGGCCGCGGCCGCGCUCCCGCUGAGGGCCCUCACGGUGCCUCGGAGGAAGCAGUGGCGAGCGCCUCCCGGCUGGGCCGCGACUGCGCCUCGGGGCCGCUACGAAACAUUGGAACAGAUUGUCCAGAGAGGCUGUGGAGUCUCCCUCACUGGAGAUACUGAAGAGCCGUCUGGAUGCAAUCCCGUGCAAUGUGUUCUGCGCUGACCCUGCCUGGGCAGGGAGCUUGGACCAGAUUACCUUAUAUUUGCACCAGAGUUGGUUCCCCUGAGAGUAGUAAGAACAUGAGUAACAACAAUGCUUCUGUAAAACUGCAUGAAGGAACGAAAGUUUAUUUCAGGUAACACUGGAACUUCUGACAAUAUUUGUCAUCUCAUCCUUCACUGCGGUCAGCAUGAACAACACUGAAGAUGCAACUGGAGCUGUUCUGCUACUGCCACAAAUAUGUAAAAUUAAUGAAUUUUUAAAUAUUCAGAUCGAUUUUAUAACAAAGUCACUAAAAAUUUUUUAAAUAAAAUAUCAAAAAGUUAUAUUAGGUCCUGCUGA
Molecule: long non-coding RNA, 1098 nt
Filed under: Junco hyemalis (dark-eyed junco)
Lineage: Eukaryota; Metazoa; Chordata; Aves; Passeriformes; Passerellidae
Description: lncRNA (ENSJHYG00000017940.1)
Source: RNAcentral